Non-coding RNA from Myodes glareolus (Bank vole), 731 nucleotides. The record is from RefSeq and is a predicted model, not a curated record. Lineage: Eukaryota; Metazoa; Chordata; Mammalia; Rodentia; Cricetidae.
UGCACACACACACACACACACACACACACACACACACACACGAUAUUGAGAUAAAGACACCACACUGAGUUAUCAUAAGUUGUCCAAACUUAAAGUGUCAACACCACUCCAAAUAAAGGAAAGUCAAAAGUUUUCAAAAAUGUUUUGAAGCCAGUAUAGUACUCUGUCCCUUUAUUUUGUUUCCUGCACACUCAACCAUGGUUUUUCCUUCCUCAAUUGCAUUCGUUUCCCAGUACUACAUUUACUCUAAACAACAAUACAGUUGAAGAGUUCUAAGGAGCAUACCACAGAGCACCUUUGCACACCCAUGUUUAUUGAUGUGGUAGACACAGCAGUCAAGUUAUGGAAGCUGCCACGAUAUUCUCCAACAGGUGCUUUUAAAUUCUCAUCACAUACACAUGCGAUACAUGGGGAGAACGCAGCCGACUGUGGCAAGAAUGGAGCAAGAAUGACUUAGAGUUUCCAGUGGAGUCCUUGUUUUCCUCUGAAAUCCAAAGGGCCUUGCUUCCACUGUACAUAUUUCUCUCAGCAUUCUGGCUCUCAAACUAAAUGUGCAUUAAGUUCUGCUUACAAUAUUCCAGGGUUUUCCUAUCCCAAGGUGCGAAGCUCAUCCAUAUCCCGAACCCAAACUAGUUCAGAAAGAUCAAUGUCAGGAUUCUUGGUCUUUCUAGAAAAUAGUGCUCAUGCUCCCUAUGGACCCCUAUGGACCAGGUUCCUGUCACAUAACAAAG